This 72-nucleotide transfer RNA is filed under the name Caudoviricetes sp. RNAcentral's name for it is "tRNA-Gln". It matches the Rfam family "tRNA". From Rfam's summary of the family: Transfer RNA (tRNA) molecules are approximately 80 nucleotides in length. Their secondary structure includes four short double-helical elements and three loops (D, anti-codon, and T loops). Lineage: Duplodnaviria; Heunggongvirae; Uroviricota; Caudoviricetes. The record is from RNAcentral.
UGGGGCAUAGCCAAGUGGUAAGGCUGCGGACUUUGACUCCGUCAUACGGCGGUUCGAGUCCGCCUGCCCCAG